RNAcentral lists this ribosomal RNA (253 nucleotides) under uncultured bacterium. RNAcentral describes it as "partial 16S ribosomal RNA". It matches the Rfam family "Bacterial small subunit ribosomal RNA", at positions 524 to 776 of the family's 1533-position model. The record is from RNAcentral.
UACGAGUGGUGCAAGCGUUAUUCGGAUUUAUUGGGCGUAAAGGGUGCGCAGGCGGUAUAUUAAGUCAACUGUUAAAUUCCUCAGCCUAACUGAGGGCCAGCGGUAGAUACUGGUAUACUAGAGGGUGGAAGAGAGAAGUGGAAUUCUUGGAGUAGCGGUAAAAUGCGUAGAUCUCAAGAGGAACACCAAUGGCGAAGGCAACUUCUUGGUCCACAUCUGACGCUCAUGCACGAAAGCGUGGGGAGCAAACAGG